UCUGCCAGGGCGUCGGAAAGAAAAGAGACAGAAAGAAUAAGCAAAUAUGAAACCUGCUCUAGUAACCUGCAUUUGAAGAAGAUAUUUUGCUUUGUGAGACAUUGCCCUAAAUGUAUUAGUAUUCUUAAAAAUGGUUAUUUUUCUGAGUGAUUGGAACAGGCCUCAGCUCAACCGUGACAUAAUUAAGGUCGCAGUCUCCCAGUGUGCCGUUGAUCAGCUGAUUGGGCGUCCACUUCAGCGUGAGGGUCUCAGCUGCCUGAUGAAGGGACAGGGCAGGCCUGCGACCUGGUGAGACCUCUUGUCCUCUGUGGGCCCCGUGGAUGCGGUGUCUUUGCACAAGCUCAUUUGCUGAUGGGUCCGUCCAGAAAUGAUCUGACGUC
Triplophysa rosa is the source of this 380-nucleotide long non-coding RNA. RefSeq lists it as uncharacterized. The transcript is spliced from 3 exons. The record is from RefSeq and is a predicted model, not a curated record. Lineage: Eukaryota; Metazoa; Chordata; Actinopteri; Cypriniformes; Nemacheilidae.